This 305-nucleotide ribosomal RNA is filed under the name uncultured bacterium. RNAcentral's name for it is "bacterial SSU rRNA". It matches the Rfam family "Bacterial small subunit ribosomal RNA", at positions 333 to 655 of the family's 1533-position model. The record is from RNAcentral.
UUUGCCCUACGGGGGGCAGCAGUGGGGAAUAUUGCACAAUGGGGGAAACCCUGAUGCAGCGACGCCGCGUGAGUGAAGAAGUAUUUCGGUAUGUAAAGCUCUAUCAGCAGGGAAGAUAAUGACGGUACCUGACUAAGAAGCCCCGGCUAACUACGUGCCAGCAGCCGCGGUAAUACGUAGGGGGCAAGCGUUAUCCGGAUUUACUGGGUGUAAAGGGGGCGUAGACGGCAAUGCAAGCCAGAUGUGAAAGCCCGGGGCUCAACCCCGGGACUGCAUUUGGAACUGUGUAGCUGGAGUGUCGGAGG